RNAcentral lists this long non-coding RNA (352 nucleotides) under Coturnix japonica (Japanese quail). RNAcentral describes it as "lncRNA (ENSCJPG00005004605.1)". The record is from RNAcentral. Lineage: Eukaryota; Metazoa; Chordata; Aves; Galliformes; Phasianidae.
CAGCUGGGUCACUGACUGACUAAAAGCUAUACAGUGUGGCAGAUAAAUUCUGAGAAACAGAGGCUCACAGAAUCUAGAACUACAGUUCCAGAAUGACAGUUACAUAAUACACUGUAGUAAUUUCAAUAAAGAGAAAUUAUAGCUAAAUAAACAAGAUAUUUUAAGUUAUUAUUUUGUUUUUCUCCAAAAGGUCGUUACUGAAGAAAAACUAAUUUCUUGAACAUGUUUUCCUAUCUUCUGUCACAGUGACACUGAAGCAGAAAAGGUUCUAUAGAGUGACUGAAGAAUUCAGAGUAAAUGAUGCAUAUGGAAUCAAACAAAAAGAUAAGUACCUGGGAUUACAUUCUCAUAG